Molecule: ribosomal RNA, 486 nt
Filed under: uncultured bacterium
Lineage: Bacteria
Description: bacterial SSU rRNA
Rfam family: Bacterial small subunit ribosomal RNA
Source: RNAcentral
GGACACGCUGGCGGCGCGGAUUAGGCAUGCAAGUCGAACGGUAUCAUCCUUUCGGGGGUGAGAGAGUGGCGAACUGGUGAGUAACACGUAGGAAUCUACCCUUAAGACGGGACAACCCAGGGAAACUUGGGCUAAUACCGGAUGAGAGUGCGAGAGAUUGCAUUUAAAAGGAUGGCGAAAGUUGUCGCUUAGGGAUGAGCCUGCGGUCUAUUAGUUAGUUGGUGAGGUAAGAGCUCACCAAGGCGAUGAUAGAUAGGCGGCCUUAACGGGUGGUCGCCCACACUGGGAUUGAGAUACGGCCCAGACUCCUACGGGAGGCAGCAGUCGAGAAUAGUCUACAAUGGCCGGAAGGCUGAUAGUGCGACGCCGCGUGAACGAGGGAGCCCUUCGGGGUGUAAAGUUCUUUUCUAUACGAGCAGUGCUAUAUAUAUGGAUAGUAUAUAUAGAGGGAUAGUAGUAUAGGAAUAAGCAACGGCUAACUCCGUG